GCUGGGGUGGCAGAGCGGUCAAUUGCACCUGACUGUAAAUCAGGCGCCUAAUGGCUACGGGGGUUCGAAUCCCUCCCCCAG
This 81-nucleotide transfer RNA is filed under the name Candidatus Liptonbacteria bacterium. RNAcentral describes it as "tRNA-Tyr". It matches the Rfam family "tRNA". Rfam says of the family: Transfer RNA (tRNA) molecules are approximately 80 nucleotides in length. Their secondary structure includes four short double-helical elements and three loops (D, anti-codon, and T loops). Further hydrogen bonds mediate the characteristic L-shaped molecular structure. tRNAs have two regions of fundamental functional importance: the anti-codon, which is responsible for specific mRNA codon recognition, and the 3' end, to which the tRNAs corresponding amino acid is attached (by aminoacyl-tRNA synthetases). tRNAs cope with the degeneracy of the genetic code in two manners: having more than one tRNA (with a specific anti-codon) for a particular amino acid; and 'wobble' base-pairing, i.e. permitting non-standard base-pairing at the 3rd anti-codon position. Lineage: Bacteria; Candidatus Liptoniibacteriota. The record is from RNAcentral.